AUACGGAGGACGCGAGCGUUAUCCGGAUUCAUUGGGUUUAAAGGGUGCGCAGGCGGCCGUGCAAGUCAGCGGUGAAAGCCCGGGGCUCAACCCCGGAAGUGCCGUUGAUACUGCAUGGCUGGAAUGCGGUCGAGGCGGGGGGCAAGUGGCGGGGAGCGGUGAAAUGCGUAGAGAUGCCACAGAACGCCGAUAGCGGAGGCAGCUCGCCAGGCCUGCAUUGACGCUCGGGCACGAAAGCGUGGGGAUCGAACAGGAUUAGAUACCCUGGUAGUCCACGCCGUAAACGAUGGGCGCUCGUCGUCGGCGGCAGACAGUCGGCGGCCAAGCGAAAGCGAUAAGCGCCCCACCUGGGGAGUACGGUCGCAAGGCUGAAACUCAAAUGAAUUGACGGGG
This 393-nucleotide ribosomal RNA is filed under the name uncultured bacterium. Its description in RNAcentral is "partial 16S ribosomal RNA". It matches the Rfam family "Bacterial small subunit ribosomal RNA", at positions 523 to 918 of the family's 1533-position model. The record is from RNAcentral.